UACGUAGGGGGCAAGCGUUGUCCGGAAUCAUUGGGCGUAAAGCGCGUGUAGGCGGUCCGGUAAGUCCGCUGUGAAAGUCGGGGGCUUAACCCUCGGAUGCCGGUGGAUACUGUCGGGCUUGAGUACGGAAGAGGCGAGUGGAAUUCCUGGUGUAGCGGUGAAAUGCGCAGAUAUCAGGAGGAACACCAAUGGCGAAGGCAGCUCGCUGGGACGGUACUGACGCUGAGACGCGAAAGCCAGGGGAGCAAACGGG
Molecule: ribosomal RNA, 253 nt
Filed under: uncultured bacterium
Lineage: Bacteria
Description: partial 16S ribosomal RNA
Rfam family: Bacterial small subunit ribosomal RNA
Source: RNAcentral